RNAcentral lists this long non-coding RNA (244 nucleotides) under Brassica napus (rape). Its description in RNAcentral is "long non-coding RNA (BNAP_LNC007800)". Lineage: Eukaryota; Viridiplantae; Streptophyta; Magnoliopsida; Brassicales; Brassicaceae. The record is from RNAcentral.
AUGGAAGUUUUUUUUUUUUGUAACACAAAGAUGAUAGAGUUAUAAUUGAAUGUUUUCAAACAUUCAAUAGCCAUGGACUUUUCAAUUAGAAUUAUGAUUUAGGUAAUGUUUGGGCCUUUAUGUAAUAAAUUGUUCGUAUAUGGUCAUGAUUAACUAAUGGAACAGUAAAAUGGAUCCGAAGUCCGAAUUCCAAAGUGUCACUUCUACAGAAAAUAUAUUAUCAUUAGCAUGUAUGAGGUUUGUC